AGUAUUUUAGGUUAAUAAAACUAUAAACCUUCAAAGUUUAUGAUAUUUUUAUGAAAUAAGUACUU
Molecule: transfer RNA, 65 nt
Filed under: Aplidium conicum
Lineage: Eukaryota; Metazoa; Chordata; Ascidiacea; Aplousobranchia; Polyclinidae
Description: transfer RNA-Trp
Source: RNAcentral